GUUUCGUAGUGAGUAGGGCAGCGAUGUUUGCUUAURUUCACUUAAGAAGCACCGCCAAAUGUACACUCCAAAUAUUCCCCAAGAAACAAACGGCUGAAGGAGGUGUACUCCAAGCGCWUGCAUUCCCAGUCCAUGUGUGCCCGUUCUUAGGGGACCAGUCCUGACCUUCUCAUUUCACUCGCUAUUUCGCUAUUUCGCGACAUUGAUAACAGAGAGAAUGUCAAUGUAGAGACGUUKUGACUGAGCCUGCUGAUGCCAAAUAAAAUAUCACCAAGAUUACCAAAGUAAUGAGUAUCUAUCGGAAAUGCGAGGAAUCCUGGCACAAGUGUACCUGUUCCAAGCAUCCUUCUAUUUAAGGCAUACGCAUAUGUACUUGAAGAUCAAGUUGCGAUUGUGCUUUCUCUUUUUUGUAUUUUUGACAGCGCCAAAAACCUUUGGGAUUAAAUCAUGUUCCGUCCG
This is a long non-coding RNA of Actinia tenebrosa (Australian red waratah sea anemone), 459 nucleotides long. RefSeq lists it as uncharacterized. Lineage: Eukaryota; Metazoa; Cnidaria; Anthozoa; Actiniaria; Actiniidae. The record is from RefSeq and is a predicted model, not a curated record.